GUAGGGAAUCUUCCACAAUGGACGCAAGUCUGAUGGAGCAACGCCGCGUGAAUGAAGAAGGUCUCGGAUCGUAAAGCUCUGUUGUUGGUGAAGAAGGAUAGAGGCAGUAACUGGUCUUUAUUUGACGGUAAUCAACCAGAAAGUCACGGCUAACUACGUGCCAGCAGCCGCGGUAAUACGUAGGUGGCAAGCGUUGUCCGGAUUUAUUGGGCGUAAAGCGAGCGCAGGCGGAAUGAUAAGUCUGAUGUGAAAGCCCACGGCUCAACCGUGGAACUGCAUCGGAAACUGUCAUUCUUGAGUGCAGAAGAGGAGAGUGGAACUCCAUGUGUAGCGGUGGAAUGCGUAGAUAUAUGGAAGAACACCAGUGGCGAAGGCGGCUCUCUGGUCUGCAACUGACGCUGAGGCUCGAAAGCAUGGGUAGCGAACAGGAUUAGAUACCCUGGUAGUCCAUGCCGUAAACGAUGAGCGCUAGGUGUUGGGGCAC
This 484-nucleotide ribosomal RNA is filed under the name uncultured bacterium. Its description in RNAcentral is "partial 16S ribosomal RNA". It matches the Rfam family "Bacterial small subunit ribosomal RNA", at positions 354 to 831 of the family's 1533-position model. The record is from RNAcentral.